Labrus mixtus (cuckoo wrasse) is the source of this 262-nucleotide long non-coding RNA. RefSeq lists it as uncharacterized. The record is from RefSeq and is a predicted model, not a curated record. The transcript is spliced from 3 exons. NCBI's taxonomy places the organism in Eukaryota, Metazoa, Chordata, Actinopteri, Labriformes, Labridae.
UGGAGGUAAAGAUGGAGGUUAAAGAUGGAGGGUAAAGAUGGAGGGUAAAGAUUGAGGUUAAAGAUGGAGGGUAAAGAUGGAGGGUAAAGAUGGAGGUUAAAGAUGGAGGGUAAAGAUGGAGGGUAAAGAUGGAGGGUAAAGAUGGAGGGUAAAGAUGGAGGGUAAAGAUGGAGGUUAAAUAUGGAGGUUAAAGAUGGAGGUUAAAGAUGGAGGGUAAAGAUGGAGGGUAAAGAUGGAGGUUAAAGAUGGAGGGUAAAGAUGG